Molecule: ribosomal RNA, 253 nt
Filed under: uncultured bacterium
Lineage: Bacteria
Description: partial 16S ribosomal RNA
Rfam family: Bacterial small subunit ribosomal RNA
Source: RNAcentral
GACAGAGGGUGCAAACGUUGUUCGGAAUUACUGGGCGUAAAGCGAGUGUAGGCGGUCUCCUAAGUCGGGUGUGAAAGCCCCGGGCUCAACCCGGGAAGUGCACUCGAAACUGGGAGGCUAGAGUAUCGGAGAGGUUGGUGGAAUUCUCGGUGUAGAGGUGAAAUUCGUAGAUAUCGAGAGGAACACCGGUGGCGAAAGCGACACACUGGGUCUCAACUGACGCUGAGGCACGAAAGCCAGGGGAGCGAACGGG